RNAcentral lists this signal recognition particle RNA (299 nucleotides) under Carassius auratus (goldfish). RNAcentral's name for it is "Metazoan signal recognition particle RNA (ENSCARG00000032058.1)". It matches the Rfam family "Metazoan signal recognition particle RNA". Rfam says of the family: The signal recognition particle (SRP) is a universally conserved ribonucleoprotein. It is involved in the co-translational targeting of proteins to membranes. The eukaryotic SRP consists of a 300-nucleotide 7S RNA and six proteins: SRPs 72, 68, 54, 19, 14, and 9. Lineage: Eukaryota; Metazoa; Chordata; Actinopteri; Cypriniformes; Cyprinidae. The record is from Rfam by way of RNAcentral.
GUCGGGUGCAGUGGCGCGUGCCUGUAAUCCAAGCUGCUGGGAGACUGAGGCUGGCGGAUCGCUUGAGUUCAGGGGUUCUGGGCUGCAGUGGACUAUGUUGAUCAGGUGUCCACACUAAGUUCGGUAUCGAUAUGGUGCUCCUGGGGGAGCUUGGGACCACCAGGUCGUCUAAGGAGGGGUGAACCGGCCCAGGUCAGAGAUGGAGCAGGUCAAAGCCCCCGUGUCGAUCAGUAGUGGGAUCGCGCCUGUGAAUAGACACUUCAGUGCAGCCUGAGCGAUACAGAGAGACCCAGACUUUU